Molecule: long non-coding RNA, 2000 nt
Filed under: Haliotis rufescens (red abalone)
Lineage: Eukaryota; Metazoa; Mollusca; Gastropoda; Lepetellida; Haliotidae
Description: uncharacterized LOC125374894
Source: RNAcentral
AGUCGUAGUAUCGCAAACAUUUCAGCUUGGACUAUAUUCUGAUUUCAACCUACAUACGAUUCACAACAGAUAAACGUCUACCUGUGCCAAUACUCUACCGUCUGACAUAAAACGUUUAACUGAUGGCAGCGGAUCCGUGUGUAGAAAAGUUAUUUUCGAGUUCCUUUCGAAAUGUUCAACGCUGCACGAUUCCAGCUAUAAUACGGCGACCUGGAAAUAAUCGAGUCUGGACUAAACAAACUAUGCGCGAUGAUCCAUAUCUUCGGGUACGAUGACACACAAUCCGCCAAGCCACCGAGCCUGACCAACCGAUCCCCAUUAGUCAGCUUUUACGACGACAAGCAUGGGGAAUAAUUUUACCGAAAUUCUCCACGUGAUGAAUGCUUUACGAAAUUGUGGUAUUGAUUUAUGGAGACGUCAACAUGUCUAUCAAAAGCAGUACUUGUGUAACGCAUGGUCAGUGGUCGAAUCUCACUCCCAAAGACAGUGAUAAGUUCGAGGGGAGAACACGGCAUCAUGUUGAAGAGCCAUGUAUGAGCAAUGAGUUUUAGAAUAGACCCUCGUUAACGCGACAUUUGGAGUAUUUGUAUGUCCUCGAGUUAUCCAGAGUUCGAGACAGAUGUGACAUGUGACUCUGCUGUAGUGAAGAUAAGGGUCAUAGGAUAAGGAUUUGGAUAAGAGCAGCUGUGGAUGUGUCAUUGCUGAUCGCACGGGACGCACGUGUGAAGCAUCAGCCAUAACAUUCUGUAUCUAUGGCUCGCAUCCUGCUCAUCAGGUUAUGACACUGGAUGAGCUACAUAUUACAGAGUGGCAGUUUGACGUGGCGCAGGCUGUAGGCAUUCUCAAUUCUUAGCCAUCGGGCACGGUAUUCGCACUCACGGUCAGCAGAUCCUGGCGAAAGAAAGGGGACUACUCUGCACGCCGUAUUCCAGUGCUUUAGACGAAAGGGCAGCUGGUGGUCUCCGAAUCUUGUAUGGCAUUAAAUAGAACCGAAACUUGGGUAUAAACUCGACCAAGGUCGAAGAGGGGAUCUAAUUGAAGAGACUGGCCUGCCUGAAAGUAGACAUAUCCCACGAUUGUCAAUUUAAUGGGAGGAAAUAGCGAUUUAUACGCUAUGCUACAUAUUACAGAGUGGCGCAGGCUGUAGGCAUUCUCAAUUCUUAGCCAUCGGGCACGGAAUUCGCACUCACGGUCAACAGAUCCUGGCGCAGGAAAGGGGACUACUCUGCACGCCGUAUUCCAGUGCUUUAGACGACAGGGCAGUUGGUGGUCUCCGAAUCCUUAAAUAGAACCGAAACUUGGGUAUAAACUCGGCCAAGCUCAACGAGGGGAUCUAAUUGAAGAGACUGACCUGCCUGAAAGUAGACGUAUCCCACGAUUGUCAAUUCAAUGGGCGGAAAUAGCGAUUUGUACGCUAUGAGCAAUGGUCAAAUACCAACACCAAUCUCAUGAAAAUCCGAUCUUUCCCCAGCACCACUAAAACUGUCUACGUGCAGAUCUGAUGACAUCGCCAUGGAGGGUCGCGUUGAGCGAAUCCUGAGCGACCUUUGACCGCCCAGCUUAAAUGAAGGAUGCGAAGGGUCUUGAGCCAAUCAGAUGUCAGCUUUCAAAAAAGAUACGGCUUCAUGUGUUUACCACCUCCAUUUGAAAAUUUCUAUUCAUGUUUAUGCAAACCCUCACAUAACACAAAUUCACCCUUGAUAGUACACAACGCAAACGUUUUUUAUGGUGUUCUGCAGUAAAAAUGCAAAUAAUCCUUGGCUAUUCAACGAAUAAGUGGAGAAUAAUAAGCAAAUAUUUCCUAUGUGGCGUAUAUCCAUAUCCAACCACUCACUGAAACCAAAUGUGGCAAAAAAAAGACAAUAGAUAAUAUGUUUUAGUUUUGGUUUGUUGUUUAACGCCGCAAUCAGCAAUAUUCCAGCUAUAUGACGGCGGUCUGUAAAUAAUCGAGUCUGGACCAGACAAUCCAGUGAUUAAUAUCAUGAGCAUCCAUCCACGCA